This 736-nucleotide non-coding RNA is filed under the name Mitjaevia dworakowskae. Lineage: Eukaryota; Metazoa; Arthropoda; Insecta; Hemiptera; Cicadellidae. The record is from RNAcentral.
UAAUAGUUUGAUUUUGUCUAAAAAAUUAAUUAUUUGUAUAUAUUAUAUGAAUAUAAUUAAAUUUUAUUAGAUCAGUAAUAAAUUUUUUAUUAUAAUUUUAUUUUUAUUAAGUAAUACAUUAAUUUUAGAUAAAAAUUGUGCCAGCAUUCGCGGUUACACAAUUUAUUAGGAUUAAUUUAUUAUUAGUUUUAAUUUUUUAUAUUCAUGAAUAUAUUUUUAUUUUAUUUAGGUGAAAUUUUUAUUGUAAUUUAUAUUCUUUUUUUUAAUUUUAAUAAAUCAUUGUAAAAAAUUAGGAUUAGAUACCCUAUUAUUAAUUGAUUUAAUUUUUAUUACACUUUAACAUUAAUAGUUAUUUUCUAUUAAAUUUAAAUAAUUUGGCGGUAACUUAUUAUUAGGGGAACCUGUUUCUUAAUUGAUAAACCACGAUAUAUUCUACUCUUGUAAAUUAUUUGUAUAUCUCUAUAAUUUAAUGUAUUUUAAUAGAAUUUCUUUUUUUCUUAUUAAGUUUUAUAUUAGGUCAAGGUGCAGUUAUUAUAAAAGUAGCUAUGGGUUACUUUAAUUAUAAAUAUUUUGAAUUUUUAUUGUUAGAUUAUUUUGAAAUAGGAUUUAAUAGUAAUUAAGAAUUAUUUUUUAAUUUGAAUAUAAUUUUAAGUUAUGCACAUAUUGCCCGUCACUCUCAUUUAAAUUGGGAUAAGUCGUAACAAGGUAAUUGUACUGGAAAGUGUAAUUAGAAUUA